UACGUAGGGUGCAAGCGUUAAUCGGAAUUACUGGGCGUAAAGCGUGCGCAGGCGGUGAUGUAAGACAGAUGUGAAAUCCCCGGGCUCAACCUGGGAACUGCAUUUGUGACUGCAUCGCUAGAGUACGGCAGAGGGGGGAUGGAAUUCCGCGUGUAGCAGUGAAAUGCGUAGAUAUGCGGAGGAACACCGAUGGCGAAGGCAAUCCCCCUGGGCCUGUACUGACGCUCAUGCACGAAAGCGUGGGGAGCAAACAGG
RNAcentral lists this ribosomal RNA (255 nucleotides) under uncultured bacterium. Its description in RNAcentral is "partial 16S ribosomal RNA". It matches the Rfam family "Bacterial small subunit ribosomal RNA", at positions 524 to 776 of the family's 1533-position model. The record is from RNAcentral.